GACGAGGGGUCCUAGCGUUGUUCGGAAUUACUGGGCGUAAAGGGCGCGUAGGCGGUCCUCUAAGUCUUGUGUGAAAUCCCUCGGCUCAACUGAGGAACUGCACGGGAUACUGGAAGACUUGAGUUCGGGAGAGGGAAGCGGAAUUCCGGGUGUAGCGGUGAAAUGCGUAGAUAUCCGGAGGAACACCGGUGGCGAAGGCGGCUUCCUGGACCGAUUACUGACGCUGAGGCGCGAAAGCUAGGGGAGCAAACGGG
This 254-nucleotide ribosomal RNA is filed under the name uncultured bacterium. Its description in RNAcentral is "partial 16S ribosomal RNA". It matches the Rfam family "Bacterial small subunit ribosomal RNA", at positions 524 to 776 of the family's 1533-position model. The record is from RNAcentral.